GGGAGUACACAGGAGCCUGGUGGUCCUCCUGGACUUCAAAUCCAGUGUGGGGUGGUAAACACGCCCUGGGUGGGUUCGAUUCCCAUGUGCUCCCGCCA
This 98-nucleotide transfer RNA is filed under the name Candidatus Fermentibacterota bacterium. Its description in RNAcentral is "tRNA-Sec". It matches the Rfam family "Selenocysteine transfer RNA". The record is from RNAcentral. Lineage: Bacteria; Pseudomonadati; Candidatus Fermentibacterota.